This 216-nucleotide ribosomal RNA is filed under the name Glomeromycotina sp. RNAcentral describes it as "partial small subunit ribosomal RNA". The stretch from base 40 to 216 matches the Rfam family "Eukaryotic small subunit ribosomal RNA", at positions 686 to 864 of the family's 1831-position model. The record is from RNAcentral. Lineage: Eukaryota; Fungi; Glomeromycota.
GGGUCAGUAGGUUGGUCGUGCCACCGGGACGUACUGGUCUCACUGAUUCCUCCUUCCUGAAGAACCGUAAUGCCAUUAAUUUGGUGUUGCGGGGAAACAGGACUGUUACUUUGAAAAAAUUAGAGUGUUUAAAGCAGGCUAACGCUUGAAUACAUUAGCAUGGAAUAAUGAAAUAGGACGAUCGAUCCUAUUUUGUUGGCUUCUAGGAUUGACGUA